Molecule: transfer RNA, 19 nt
Filed under: Krugiodendron ferreum
Lineage: Eukaryota; Viridiplantae; Streptophyta; Magnoliopsida; Rosales; Rhamnaceae
Description: partial tRNA-Gln
Source: RNAcentral
UUCGAAUCCUUCCGUCCCA